GGCGGAAGCCUUGUUAGCAUCAGUCCGCACCCACUGCGGGCGACAUUUGCCUGUAGCUGGGAACUCGCUCCCUCCUGUCGGGGCGAACGAUCAGCUGCUGCGUGCCCGAUCAUGCAGUCCACAGAUCAAACGCAAGUGGCCUACUCUUCGCUGUAGGUUGAGAUAUGACCGUAGCAAACUCUGCUUGGAGUUUGAAAGACUAGUUCCGUAGGUGAACCUGCGGAAGGAUCAUUA
This 234-nucleotide ribosomal RNA is filed under the name Caloplaca erythrantha. Its description in RNAcentral is "partial 18S ribosomal RNA". Lineage: Eukaryota; Fungi; Ascomycota; Lecanoromycetes; Teloschistales; Teloschistaceae. The record is from RNAcentral.